Molecule: long non-coding RNA, 474 nt
Organism: Syngnathus typhle (broad-nosed pipefish)
Lineage: Eukaryota; Metazoa; Chordata; Actinopteri; Syngnathiformes; Syngnathidae
Exons: 2
Source: RefSeq, a predicted model, not a curated record
CCAAAGCUGAGUGGAGAAAUCUUGCGGGGUGUCCUCCUUGCUGUGGCAUUGCAGGACAUGAAGAGGCUGCAGGCACACCGGCUGCGCAAACGGGACCGCCACUGAGCCACUCGCCGUAGUCAUUGAGGAGGGAGGACAAAAGUCAAGGAGGGAUCCGAUUGCGCCCUCUUGCGAGGAGUCAGUCGCAAAUCGUCAUCCAUCAGCACCGGGGCCGGCUUCCUUUUUGCGGGGAUCGAAACCUCCCGAACGAGAAGUGUGCCGACAGCGUCAAUGACAAGUCUGACCAUUUCCAUGAAAACGGGCAACAGCCUUUCACUCAACAGCAUGGCUUGACGAAUAAGGCAAAGUUCAAAUGUACUUCAAUUUACAUUGGUCUUGUUCGACACGUCCUCCUCGGGUUCCGUGAGGGAUCGCAGAUGCUCCCUGGCCAUGAUUUCUACCUGGCGGUCACACAAUAAAAGACAUGAGGUGGCA